CGUCAGAGCUUACUCAUUAUACUCAAUAAAUCCCUGAAACAUAUUAAAACCCUACCCCGAUACUGAAUAAUUCCAUACACCUAUGGAAGCUAUUAUGUUAAAACAAGUAACAUGAAGUUAAACCUUCUCUCCAAUGUAAACUUAAGUCAGGAUGGACAACACACUGACAAUUAACAGCUUAAACUAAAGUGACAACUCAACCCAAGAAAACCCCACUAUACUCAUCUGUUAACCUAACACAAGAACAUUUAGAGAAAGACUUAAAGAAAAAGAAGGAACUCGGCAAAACCUGAUUCCGCCUGUUUACCAAAAACAUCGCCUCCUGAAUCUAAAACCAUAGGAGGUCCAGCCUGCCCAGUGACUCUGUUUAACGGCCGCGGUAUCCUAACCGUGCGAAGGUAGCGUAAUCACCUGUUUUUUAAUUAAAGACCUGUAUGAAAGGCAUCACGAGAAUCACACUGUCUCCUUUCUCAAGUCAGUGAAACUAAUCUCCCCGUGAAAAAGCGGGGAUGCCACUACAAGACGAGAAGACCCUUUGGAGCUUAAGACAAUGUGAAUAUUUCGCCCACUUUUAACCCCGCACCUCAUGGCACCCUAUUUACAAGUCUUGGGUUGGGGCAACCGCGGAGUAAAAACAAACCUCCAAGCUGAACGAAAACUUUCUAAACAAAAAGCAACAGCUUUACGUAUCAGUAAACUGACACAAUUUGACCCAAUAUACUUUGAUUAACGAACCAAGUUACCCUAGGGAUAACAGCGCAAUCCACUUUAAGAGUCCAUAUCGAAAAGUGGGCUUACGACCUCG
This 805-nucleotide ribosomal RNA is filed under the name Eleutherodactylus darlingtoni (Darlington's robber frog). RNAcentral describes it as "partial 16S ribosomal RNA". It matches the Rfam family "Bacterial large subunit ribosomal RNA", at positions 1216 to 2528 of the family's 2925-position model. Lineage: Eukaryota; Metazoa; Chordata; Amphibia; Anura; Eleutherodactylidae. The record is from RNAcentral.